UGGAUAACCGGGUAAUUCUAGAGCUAAUACAUGCUAAAAACCCCGACUUCGGAAGGGGUGUAUUUAUUAGAUACAAAACCAAUGCCCUUCGGGGCUCUUUGGUGAUUCAUGAUAACUAUACGAAUCGCACGGCCUUGCGCCGGCGAUGGUUCAUUCAAAUUUCUUCCCUAUCAACUUUCGAUGUUUGGGUAUUGGCCAAACAUGGUUGCAACGGGUAACGGAGGGUUAGGGCUCGACCCCGGAGAAGGAGCCUGAGAAACGGCUACUACAUCCAAGCGAAGGCAGCAGGCGAUGCAAAUUACCCAAUCCCGACACCGGGGAGGUAGUGACAAUAAAUACUGAUACAGGGCCCUUUCGGGCCUUGUAAUUGGAAUGAGUACAAUUUAAAUCCCUUAACGAGGAACAAUUGGAGGGCAUCAGUCUGGUGCCAGCAGCCGCGAGUAAUUCCAGCUCCAAUAGCGUAUAUUAAAGUUGUUGUGGUUAAAAAGCUCGUAGUUGAACCUUGGGCCUGGCUGGCCGGUCCGCCUCACCGCGUGCACUGGUCCGGCCGGGCCUUUCCCUCUGUGGAACCCCAUACCCUUCACUGGGCGUGGCGGGGAAACAGGACAUUUACUUUGAAAAAAUUAAAAUGCUCCAGGCAGGCCUAUGCUCGAAUACAUUAGCAUGGAAUAAUAAAAUAGGACGCGCGGUUCUAUUUUGUUGGUUUAUAGGACCGCCGUAAUGAUUAAUAGGGACAGUCGGGGGCAUCAGUAUUCAACUGUCAGAGGUGAAAUUCUUGGAUCAGUUGAAGACUAACUACUGCGAAAGCAUUUGCCAAGGAUGUUUUCAUUAAUCAGGAACGAAAGUUAGGGGAUCGAAGACGAUCAGAUACCGUCGUAGUCUUAACCAUAAACUAUGCCGACUAGGGAUCGGACGGUGUUAUUCAUGACCCGUUCGGCACCUUACGAGAAAUCAAAGUGCUUGGGCUCCAGGGGGAGUAUGGUCCCCAAGGCUGAAACUUAAAGAAAUUGACGGAAGGGCACCACCAGGGGUGGAGCCUGCGGCUUAAUUUGACUCAACACGGGGAAACUCACCAGGUCCCAGACACAAUAAGGAUUGCAGAUUGAGAGCUCUUCUUGAUUUUGUGGGUGGGGGUGCAUGGCCGUUCUUAGUUGGUGGGGUGACUUGUCUGCUUAAUUGCGAUAACGAACGAGACCUUAACCUGCUAAAUAGCCCGCAUUGCUCCGGCAGUGCGCUGGCUUCUUAGAGGGACUUUCGG
RNAcentral lists this ribosomal RNA (1258 nucleotides) under Acremonium sp. SPPRISTMF6. Its description in RNAcentral is "SSU rRNA". It matches the Rfam family "Eukaryotic small subunit ribosomal RNA", at positions 140 to 1426 of the family's 1831-position model. The record is from RNAcentral. Lineage: Eukaryota; Fungi; Ascomycota; Sordariomycetes; Hypocreales; Bionectriaceae.